CGCGUAGGCGGCUUGGUCAGUCGGAUGUGAAAGCCCCGGGCUUAACCUGGGAACUGCAUUCGAUACUGCCUGGCUAGAGUGUGAUAGAGGGUAGUGGAAUUCCCGGUGUAGCGGUGAAAUGCGUAGAUAUCGGGAGGAACAUCAGUGGCGAAGGCGACUGCCUGGAUCAAUACUGACGCUGAGGUGCGAAAGCGUGGGGAGCAAACA
This 207-nucleotide ribosomal RNA is filed under the name uncultured bacterium. Its description in RNAcentral is "partial 16S ribosomal RNA". It matches the Rfam family "Bacterial small subunit ribosomal RNA", at positions 568 to 774 of the family's 1533-position model. The record is from RNAcentral.